AUGCUUUGGCAGUACAUAUAAUAAAAUUUGAAUGAUAUGAGAAGAUCAGCAUAACCUCUAUGCAAGGAUGACAUCCAAAUUUGUCUUGGGGAAUAAAAUAUU
Small nuclear RNA from Suncus etruscus (white-toothed pygmy shrew), 102 nucleotides. The record is from RefSeq and is a predicted model, not a curated record. Lineage: Eukaryota; Metazoa; Chordata; Mammalia; Eulipotyphla; Soricidae.